Molecule: ribosomal RNA, 508 nt
Filed under: uncultured bacterium
Lineage: Bacteria
Description: partial 16S ribosomal RNA
Rfam family: Bacterial small subunit ribosomal RNA
Source: RNAcentral
GACGAACGCUGGCGGCGUGCUUAACACAUGCAAGUCGAACGGGCCUUGUCCCCUUUUUUUUUGGGGGUGGGGUUAGUGGCGAACGGGUGAGUUACACGUGAGUAACCUGCCCCUCACUUCUGGAUAACCGCUUGAAAGGGUGGCUAAUACGGGGCGUUCUGGCCUGCUCGCAUGGGUGGGUUUGGAAAGAUUCGACCGGUUUUGGUUGUUUUGGUGGGGGAUGGGCUCGCGGCCUAUCAGCUUGUUGGUGGGGUGAUGGCCUGCCAAGGCUUUGACGGGUAGCCGGCCUGAGAGGGUGGGCGGUCACACUGGGACUGAGACACGGCCCAGACUCCUACGGGAGGCAGCAGUGGGGAAUAUUGCACAAUGGGCGCAAGCCUGAUGCAGCGACGCCGCGUGAGGGAUGGAGGCCUUCGGGUUGUGAACCUCUUUCGCCAGUGAAGAAGGUCCUGCUCUUUGUGGUGGGGUUGACGGUAGCUGGGUUAAUGAAGCGCCGGCUAACUACGUG